AUAAUGUUCCAGAAUAUUCACAGGUGAAUAAAGAUUACUCUGUUGUCCCAUUUGAAUGCAAUGCCACUGCUGGGAGUGCCAGAAAGUUUGAUUACCUGGUCACCUUUGUUGCAAGAAUGGAACUUUGGGUGAUCUUCAUAAUGUUGAUAGAAGCUGGUUCAAUAAAGUAUUUCAAAGCUAGAAUGCUCCUCAGAGCACUGAAACUUUUGGUCAUAGAAGGAGACAUCUGCAAGUAAAUGACUUUAUGGUAAGCAUCAUAUUUUGAAGAGCUCCCUAACUGACCGUGAUAUAAUAAUGACACCUACAAACACUUAGCUUUGGGGAGGCUCUGAUGGAACUCACAGAUCUGUAUGGUCAGAAAAAGGUCUCCUGGUGCCCACGUGAGUGAAAGGGCAGCAUGCAAUAAUGCAUGAUGGUAGAAAGAGCACUGGCCAGGAACCCAAUGACCUGGCCAGCUGCGUGCUUACUGCCUUUGUGAUCUCAGACAUUCUCUGACCCCUUAGAGUUCAGUCUCAUCAGUAAAUGAAGAUGGAUGCUGGCAUCUGCUGUGUACCCUACUGUGCUGUGAACAUUUGAGAAAGCUUCACGAAUCCUUGACUAAACAACCAGUGUCUUACUGUUCUUGUCAAAAGAAACAGAGACCUCAGGCGUUCCUUCUAAAGUUACCUCUCUGCCUUAGAAGGUUGGCGGAGCCCCUCAAACCACAGAGAAGGUGCCAGCAUUCGUGCUGAUCAGGAGAAGACCAAGCUCCCAUGUGAAAGAUGCCCUCCCUAAACCAGGAGGAAAGAAACAUUCUUAUCACCAGAGAUGGAGAACAGAGGCUGAGAGAAAUCUGUACAAACAGAUCUUGUGAAAAUAACCCUUAUCUUCUUUAGUCUCCCUAUCAUUAUGGUUAUUUUUCCACAAUUACAACUUUUGUUCAACCUAGUAUAUAAGUUAGGCAUUUAAGCCUGACCGCUUUUAGGGUCUUCAUUUUCCUGUGAGGGCUCCCAUAUGCAUGUAAAAAUAUCAAAUAAAAUUUGUAUGUUUUUCUCCUGUUAAUCUGUCUUAUAUCAACUUAAUUCUCAGGCAGUGAGAUAAUGGAAAAUAUAUAUUGGUCUCUGGUUCCUGGCACAGAGCACGUAAACCCCUUGUAAUUGCCUAAGUGAUAAGAACACUAGAAGCAUCUCUUGUUCUAACGUUGGUCUUUGACCUCAGUUCCUGACACAGGGCUCCUGAAACCCUUGUAACUUCCUGGGUAAAAGGAGUGUCUUGUUUUAAUGAGGUGACUCUGGACUCCUCAAUGAGAGCUGGUUACCAGAAGGACCAAGUCAUGAUUAGAAGCUUGGAAUUUUCAGCCCCACCUCCCAUUCUCUUGAGAAGGGAGAUGGGGCUGAAAAUGCAGUUGAUGUUCAAUCAUGCCUAUGUGACAAAGCCUCCGUAAAAUCCCAAAAGUAUAGGGUUUGGAGAGCUUCCAGGUUGGUGAACACAUGGAGGUGCUGGGAGAGUCACGUGCCUGGAGAGGGCACGGAAGGUCCACGUCCCUUCCCAUAUACCUUGCCCUACGCAUCUCUCCCCUCUGGAUGUUCAUCUGUAUCCUUUAUCAUAGCCUUGUAUAAUGAACUGGAAAUGUAAGUGAGCUGUUUCCCUGAGUUCUGUGAGCCGCUCUAGCAAAUUAAUCAAACCCAAGGACUGAGUUGUUGGAACUUCCAAUCUAUAGCCGGUUGGUCAGAAGCACAGGUGACAAUCUGGGCUUGUGACUGGCAUCUGAGGGGUGUGUGUGUGUGUGUGUGUGCAGGGGGCAGUCUUGUGGGGACUGAGACUUUACACUGUGAAUCUGACGCUAUCUCUGGCUUGAGUCAGAAUUGAAUCAAAUUGUGGGACGCCCAGCUGGUGUCGCAGAAACUUGCUCAUUGUUGUGAUGACAAACCUCCACACGUUUGGUGAGCAGAAGUGUUCUCUGUGAAGGUAAAGGAGACACACAGGGAAGAAACUUAUAGUAGGGAAGAACUGGAUUUUUCCCUUCAUAGGAAGGAAAAAACUGAGUUUUUCCAUUUAAUCAGGCCCAGCCGGAGACUGUAACAGGGUAGAGGGAAAGUCUUGCCUUCCCCAGAGAAGCUUGUUAACUACUUGGUGUUGGUUGAAAAACAACAUCCUCUCUCCCCCUCACCCACGCUUUCUGCCAGUUCCUGGGAUUGUUGAAAUGGGAAGGAGUUGUAAAGAGGUGAGGGGGUUAUUCAGGGGUUCCUAGAAGGAAUGUUGUGAGUAUGAAUGCCAUUCCAGGGGUCCUUGGCCCUAUCUCUGCUUUGCCUCUGUCUCUCUCGAGAUCGUUUGUUCCUUGUUCUGUUUUUCAGAAGUGAAAGAAAUUAGAUUUCAGAAUCACUUGACAGGAGGAGAGGAGGUGCAAGAAAACAC
This 2394-nucleotide long non-coding RNA is filed under the name Equus caballus (horse). Its description in RNAcentral is "lncRNA (ENSECAG00000054811.1)". Lineage: Eukaryota; Metazoa; Chordata; Mammalia; Perissodactyla; Equidae. The record is from RNAcentral.